This 506-nucleotide ribosomal RNA is filed under the name uncultured bacterium. RNAcentral describes it as "partial 16S ribosomal RNA". It matches the Rfam family "Bacterial small subunit ribosomal RNA", at positions 29 to 523 of the family's 1533-position model. The record is from RNAcentral.
AUUGAACGCUGGCGGCAGGCCUAACACAUGCAAGUCGAACGGUAGCACAGAGGAGCUUGCUCCUCGGGUGACGAGUGGCGGACGGGUGAGUAAUGUCUGGGGACCGGCCCGAUAGCGGGGGAUAACCACUGGAAACGGUGGCUAAUACCGCAGAACGUCGCAAGACCAAAGAGGGGGACCUUCGGGCCUCUCACUAUCGGAUGAACCCAGAUGGGAUUAGCUAGUAGGCGGGGUAACGGCCCACCUAGGCGACGGUCCCUAGCUGGUCUGAGAGGAUGACCAGCCACACUGGAGCUGAGACACGGUCCAGACUCCGACGGGAGGCAGCAGUGGGGAAUAUUGCACAAUGGGCGCAAGCCUGAUGCAGCCAUGCCGCGUGUAUGAAGAAGGACUUCGGGUUGUAAAGUACUUUCAGCGGGGAGGAAGGCGAUGUGGUUAAUAACCGCAUUGAUUGACGUUACCCGCAGAAGAAGCACCGGCUAACUCCGUGCCAGCCGCCGCGGUAA